This 913-nucleotide ribosomal RNA is filed under the name uncultured Alphaproteobacteria bacterium. RNAcentral describes it as "bacterial SSU rRNA". The stretch from base 98 to 913 matches the Rfam family "Bacterial small subunit ribosomal RNA", at positions 1 to 864 of the family's 1533-position model. The record is from RNAcentral. Lineage: Bacteria; Pseudomonadati; Pseudomonadota; Alphaproteobacteria.
GCUAUUUUAGGGGACCCUAUAGAAUACUCAAGCUAUGCAUCCAACGCGUUGGGAGCUUUCCCAUAUGGUCGACCUGCAGGCGGCCCGCGAAUUCACUAGUGAUUAGAGUUUGAUCCUGGCUCAGAACGAACGCUGGCGGCACGCCUAACACAUGCAAGUCGAGCGCUACCUUCGGGUGGAGCGGCGGACGGGUUAGUAACGCGUGGGAACGUACCCAGAUCUGCGGAAUAGCCUUUGGAAACGAAGAGUAAUACCGCAUACGCCCUUCGGGGGAAAGAUUUAUCGGAUUUGGAUCGGCCCGCGUAAGAUUAGAUAGUUGGUGGGGUAAUGGCCUACCAAGUCUACGAUCUUUAGCUGGUUUGAGAGGAUGAUCAGCAACACUGGGACUGAGACACGGCCCAGACUCCUACGGGAGGCAGCAGUGGGGAAUCUUAGACAAUGGGCGCAAGCCUGAUCUAGCGAUGCCGCGUGAGUGAUGAAGGCCUUAGGGUCGUAAAGCUCUUUCGCCUGUGAUGAUAAUGACAGUAGCAGGUAAAGAAACCCCGGCUAACUCCGUGCCAGCAGCCGCGGUAAUACGGAGGGGGUUAGCGUUGUUCGGAAUUACUGGGCGUAAAGCGCACGUAGGCGGAUUAAUAAGUCAGAGGUGAAAUCCCAGGGCUCAACCCUGGAACUGCCUUUGAUACUGUUAGUCUUGAGUUCGAGAGAGGUAAGUGGAAUUCCGAGUGUAGAGGUGAAAUUCGUAGAUAUUCGGAGGAACACCAGUGGCGAAGGCGACUUACUGGCUCGAUACUGACGCUGAGGUGCGAAAGUGUGGGGAGCAAACAGGAUUAGAUACCCUGGUAGUCCACACCGUAAACGAUGAAUGCCAGACGUCGGGUAGCAUGCUAUUCGGUGUCACACCUAACGGAUUAAG